UUCCGGUUGAUCCCGCCGGACCUGACUGCUAUCGGAUUGAUACUAAGCCAUGCUAGUCUUUGUAGUAAUACAAGGCAUACGGCUCAGUAACGCGUAGUCAACCUACCCUAUGGACGGGGAUAAUCUCGGGAAACUGAGCAUAAUACCCGGCAGACCACUUAUCCUGGAAUGGUUAGUGGUUAAAAUGAUUCGUCGCCAUAGGAUGGGACUGCGGCCUAUCAGCUUGUUGGUGAGGUAAUGGCCCACCAAGGCGAUUACAGGUACGGGCUCUGAGAGGAGAGGCCCGGAGAUGGGUACUGAGACAAGGACCCAGGCCCUAUGGGGCGCAGCAGGCGAGAAAACUUUGCAAUGUGCGAAAGCACGACAAGGUUAAUCCGAGUGAUUUCUGCUAAAGGAAUCUUUUGUUAGUUCUAAAAAUACUAGUGAAUAAGGGGUGGGCAAGUUCUGGUGUCAGCCGCCGCGGUAAAACCAGCACCUCAAGUGGUCAGGAGGAUUAUUGGGCCUAAAGCAUCCGUAGCCUGUUCUAUAAGUUUGCGGUUAAAUCUAUACGCUCAACGUAUAGGCUGCCGUAAAUACUGUAGAACUAGGGAGUGGGAGAGGUAGACGGUACUCGAUAGGAAGGGGUAAAAUCCUUUGAUCUAUUGAUGACCACCUGUGGCGAAGGCGGUCUACCAGAACACGUUCGACGGUGAGGGAUGAAAGCUGGGGGAGCAAACCGGAUUAGAUACCCGGGUAGUCCCAGCUGUAAACGAUGCAGACUCGAUGAUGCAAUGGCAUAGAGCUAUUGCAGUAUCGCAGGGAAGCCGUUAAGUUUGCCGCCUGGGAAGUACGUACGCAAGUAUGAAACUUAAAGGAAUUGGCGGGGGAGCACCACAAGGGGUGAAGCCUGCGGUUCAAUUGGAUUCAACGCCGGG
Molecule: ribosomal RNA, 914 nt
Filed under: uncultured marine archaeon
Lineage: Archaea
Description: bacterial SSU rRNA
Rfam family: Archaeal small subunit ribosomal RNA
Source: RNAcentral